Molecule: ribosomal RNA, 635 nt
Filed under: Desulfomicrobium sp. PR5_A12
Lineage: Bacteria; Pseudomonadati; Thermodesulfobacteriota; Desulfovibrionia; Desulfovibrionales; Desulfomicrobiaceae
Description: bacterial SSU rRNA
Rfam family: Bacterial small subunit ribosomal RNA
Source: RNAcentral
AGUGGCGCACGGGUGAGUAACGCGUGGGUAAUCUACCCUUGGAUUUGGGAUAACUCUGCGAAAGUGGAGCUAAUACCGGAUAGUCUGGCUUUAAAUAAGAAGUCGGUAAAGGAUGCCUCUGCAUAUGCAUUCGUCCGAGGAUGAGCCCGCGUCUCAUUAGCUAGUUGGUAGGGUAAUGGCCUACCAAGGCAACGAUGAGUAGCUGGUCUGAGAGGAUGAUCAGCCACACUGGAACUGAAACACGGUCCAGACUCCUACGGGAGGCAGCAGUGGGGAAUAUUGCGCAAUGGGCGAAAGCCUGACGCAGCAACGCCGUGUGAGGGAUGAAGGCUUUCGGGUCGUAAACCUCUGUCGGAAGGGAAGAACGGGCAUUGGUCUAAUAGGCCUUUGUUUUGACGGUACCUUUAGAGGAAGCACCGGCUAACUCCGUGCCAGCAGCCGCGGUAAUACGGAGGGUGCAAGCGUUAUUCGGAAUUACUGGGCGUAAAGCGCACGUAGGCGGCCUUGUAAGUCAGGGGUGAAAUCCCACGGCUCAACCGUGGAACUGCCUUUGAAACUGCAGGGCUUGAAUCCUGGAGAGGGUGGCGGAAUUCCUGGUGUAGGAGUGAAAUCCGUAGAUAUCAGGAGGAACACCG